Molecule: ribosomal RNA, 727 nt
Filed under: uncultured Pseudoxanthomonas sp.
Lineage: Bacteria; Pseudomonadati; Pseudomonadota; Gammaproteobacteria; Lysobacterales; Lysobacteraceae
Description: bacterial SSU rRNA
Rfam family: Bacterial small subunit ribosomal RNA
Source: RNAcentral
GCAAGUUCGAAGCGGCAGCGCGGGGGCAACCCUGGGCGGCGAAGCGGCGGACGGGUGAGGAAUACAUCGGAAUCUGCCAUGUUGUGGGGAAUAACGUAGGGAAACUUACGCUAAUACCGCAUGAGACCGUAAGGUGAAAGUGGGGGAUCGCAAGACCUCACGCGACAAGAUGAGCCGAUGUCGGAUUAGCUAGUUGGUGGGGUAAUGGCCUACCAAGGCGACGAUCCGUAGCUGGUCUGAGAGGAUGAUCAGCCACACUGGGACUGAGACACGGCCCAGACUCCUACGGGAGGCAGCAGUGGGGAAUAUUGGACAAUGGGCGCAAGCCUGAUCCAGCCAUGCCGCGUGAGGUGAAGAAGGCCUUCGGGUUGUAAAGCCACUUUUGUAUGGGAAAGAAAUCCUGCUCGGCUAAUACCCUGGCGGGGAUGACGGUACCCAAAGAAUAAGCACCGGCUAACUUCGUGCCAGCAGCCGCGGUAAUACGAAGGGUGCAAGCGUUACUCGGAAUCACUGGGCGUAAAGCGUGCGUAGGCGGUUCGUUAAGUCUGUCGUGAAAGCCCUGGGCUCAACCUGGGAAUUGCGAUGGAUACUGGCGAGCUAGAGUACGGUAGAGGAUGGUGGAAUUCCCGGUGUAGCGGUGAAAUGCGUAGAGAUCGGGAGGAACACCCGUGGCGAAGGCGGCCAUCUGGACCAGUACUGACGCUGAGGCACGAAAGCGUGGGGAGCA